CAACGAAGCAUCUCGUAUAUUCUAUUUUAGUGCUCUGAAAGAAUGCUAUGAUACGCCAAUUGGUAUUGUGUUGUGUGUGUGUUAUAAUAUAUUGUUUAUCUAACAGUUUCUAAAAUAGAUAGUAAAUAGGAAAGCCUGCGCGCCGCUGGCGAGCUCCCGCGGCGUGAGGAUGUGCGCGCCCGUGGAGCCCGUGAACUGUCCCGCCCGCCAUCCGAACUGAUACUUUGUCAAGAAAGUGAAGGAUAUAGAAGAGGGCGCUGUUUCCUGUCGGCUGGCAACACUGGGAGUUUAUUACGCAAUCUUGGCUUGUUUAGUAUUGCAAUGGCAAAAAAAAUUGUUAAUAAAAAAUAUGUUUUUUUUUAUUCACAUUCUUGACAGACUAUAAUAAACAUAUUCUAUAGCAUAAAGUUGAAAACACUUAGGUUCUAUAAUGGGAUUAUGGUAUUAAUACCGAGGAGCCAAAACAUUAUACAUAUAUAAUGUUCAAAAAUCAUAGAUAACCUACAAUUUU
Plodia interpunctella (Indianmeal moth) is the source of this 511-nucleotide long non-coding RNA. RefSeq lists it as uncharacterized. NCBI's taxonomy places the organism in Eukaryota, Metazoa, Arthropoda, Insecta, Lepidoptera, Pyralidae. The record is from RefSeq and is a predicted model, not a curated record. The transcript has 3 exons.